This 30-nucleotide non-coding RNA is filed under the name Homo sapiens (human). Lineage: Eukaryota; Metazoa; Chordata; Mammalia; Primates; Hominidae. The record is from RNAcentral.
UGGGUUGACCUGGGGGUCUUCCUAUGGGAC